Molecule: ribosomal RNA, 289 nt
Filed under: uncultured Flavobacterium sp.
Lineage: Bacteria; Pseudomonadati; Bacteroidota; Flavobacteriia; Flavobacteriales; Flavobacteriaceae
Description: partial 16S ribosomal RNA
Rfam family: Bacterial small subunit ribosomal RNA
Source: RNAcentral
AUGGGCGCAAGCCUGAUCCAGCCAUGCCGCGUGCAGGAUGACGGUCCUAUGGAUUGUAAACUGCUUUUGUACAGGAAGAAACCCUUUUACGAGUAGAAGCUUGACGGUACUGUAAGAAUAAGGAUCGGCUAACUCCGUGCCAGCAGCCGCGGUAAUACGGAGGAUCCAAGCGUUAUCCGGAAUCAUUGGGUUUAAAGGGUCCGUAGGCGGUUUGAUAAGUCAGUGGUGAAAGCCCAUCGCUCAACGAUGGAACGGCCAUUGAUACUGUUAGACUUGAAUUAUUAGGAAG